AUCUGCCUCUCAAUCUUCAUCCUGUUCGCUUCAGUUUUGGCAGCACCGAAAAAAUGCGGACCAAAUGAGGAUUUCAAAGAGUGCGGAACUGCUUGUGAAGCCAACUGCGCCGAAGGACACGUGAUGUUCUGCACAAUGCAAUGCAUUGUAAACGUGUGCCAGUGCAAGGAUGGUUUCUUCCGUAACAAGGAUAAGAAAUGUGUUCCACGCAACAAAUGCUAAGCUCAAUUUCAUUAUAUGUUCCUUAUAAAUUUCACAAACUAUUCAAUUUUAAUUCAGCUUGCAAAUAAACCAUUUUUUAAUU
This 304-nucleotide unclassified non-coding RNA is filed under the name Caenorhabditis elegans. RNAcentral describes it as "Non-coding transcript of protein-coding gene F36H9.4b". Lineage: Eukaryota; Metazoa; Nematoda; Chromadorea; Rhabditida; Rhabditidae. The record is from RNAcentral.